AGAAACUUAGGAUAAUAUAAAACCAAAGGCCUUCAAAGCCUUAAACAAGAGUUAAACCCUCUUAGUUUCUG
Molecule: transfer RNA, 71 nt
Filed under: Melopsittacus undulatus (budgerigar)
Lineage: Eukaryota; Metazoa; Chordata; Aves; Psittaciformes; Psittaculidae
Rfam family: tRNA
About the family: Transfer RNA (tRNA) molecules are approximately 80 nucleotides in length. Their secondary structure includes four short double-helical elements and three loops (D, anti-codon, and T loops).
Source: Rfam by way of RNAcentral